UAAGUAAUGUGAGAGUAUCCGAAAGAUCUAAAAAACCACCUGUAACGAGAUAUAAUUAAAUUAAAUGAAGUAAAUCUAUUUUCAUCCCCUUUUCAGUGUAAAUUAAAUUCUCAGCAAUUCUUGUAUGAUAAAUCCAUAUGUUACAAAUAAUCUAACAAAAUAAUACAGUCUGGUUCAUUUCCAGAGAGACUAAAAUACUCCGUAAUAAAGCCUCUCUUGAAAGAAGAAUCAUCUUAAAAAAUAUGUUAUUCUAAAUCCUAAUCAAUAUGGUUUUAAAAAAAAACUGGAACACAUUUGUUCUGAUAUGUGACUCAUUCUAUAUCCAGUGGUUUGUGAAUAUACUUUUCUUUGACUAUACUCCUAGGCGCAAUUAAUUUACUUCAUUAUUUUGAAAACUGGGUAUGUCGUGCAGGGACUUGCGGCAUACCCACGAAAUGUCAGCCAUGCAGAGGUACUGGCAGCAGCUACAUUGGUUUUCUGCAGACAGAACCGAACUCUCUACCGCUGCAUAUUCCCCAACAUCUCGGAACGGCAGCUGGAUUCAUUACUGUUGGCUGCGUGGGAUUCAUCACCUGAGACAGAAAAGAAUAUUUACAUAUCGGAGGUUUCCACAAGCAUCUCCCCCUUUGCGUGGUAUACUAUAAUUGCAGCCCUGUUUGUGCUGGUUACAUGUGCGUUGAGAAAGUUGUAUAUCCGGACAUACCAUUCUACAAUCCAUGAGGAACAGGUGGUGGUCAAUAGAGCCCUGAAGAAGAACAAGGAACUGACCACCCGCAGUACGACACCAAAGUUACAGGGGUGCCCUGCAACAUGUAUCCCUGUUAAAACACAAACCGUUCCUACAAUCCAUGAGGAAAAGGUGGUGGUCUAUAGACCCCUGGAGAAGAACAAGGAACUGACAACCCACAGUACGACACCAAAGUUACAGGGGUGCCCUGCACCAUGUAUCCCUGUUAAAACACAAACAGUUCCUACAAUCCAUGAGGAACAGGAGGUGGUCGAUAGACCCCGGGAGAAGCAGAAGGAACUGACCACCAGCAGUAUGACACCAAAGUUACAGGGGUGCCCUGCAACAUGUAUCCCUGUUAAAACACAAACAGUUCCUACAAUCCAUGAGGAACAGGAGGUGGUCAAUAGAGCCCUGGAGAAGAACAAGGAACUGACCACCAGCAGUACGACACCAAAGUUACAGGGCUGCCCUGCAACACGCAUCUCUGUUGAAACACAAACACUACAAUCAAUGAGGAACAGGAGGUGGUCGAUAGAGCCCUGGAGAAGCACAAGGAACUGACCACCCGCAGUAUAACACCAAAGUUACAGGGGUGCCUUCCAACACGCAUCUCUGUUUCAACACAAACAGUUCCUACAAUCCAUGAACAGGACGUGGUCGAUAGACCCCUGGAGAAGAACAAGGAACUGACGACCCGCAGUACGACACCAAAGUUACAGGGGUGCCCUGCAACACGUGUCCCUGAUAGAAGAAGAGAGAAAUUUGAGCCUGCAGUUUUUGCAGCACAUAAGAAGAGUGAGCAGAUUUCCUAGUCCAUGCAACUAACCUAACAUUAAAAUAACACAUUUUCCUGUGUUAGCAUUAAGUUAAUGUGGAAGGACAAUUUUUUUCAUCUUGUCAAGAUAUUCUUAAGGUAAUCUGAAAUGUUCGCUGGAUUUAACUUUGUAAACACCAAACCAUGAAAAAGUAUGGGGAAAUGGAAGCAUAGCUCCAAAUUCAUAUUAGCAUACACCUAACUGAAGUCGAGAUAGGUUAUUUUAUAUAGCAGUGGUCUACAGGCUGGAUGGUCCGGGUUUGAUUCCAUGCAUUCAGAGAUUUUUCUCCUCUUGAUAGAAUCUGGACACACACUGGGGUCCAUCCAGCCACCUAGCUAAUGGGUACCAGGGGAUUCUGAAUACUGACUCGUCCACGUGAGGGUUGUGUAAAUGGCAUAAGUCGAAGUAUCAGAUUUUAAGGUUGUUCAAAUAGUAUGAGGUGACAAUGUGACAUAUGUGAAUGGAUGUAAUAUUAUAUUUAAGCAUCCUGUUGCACUCCAUACGAUAAAUGAUAUAAUGAUACAAAUUCCGUCCCAA
Molecule: RNA transcript, 2082 nt
Organism: Cryptotermes secundus
Lineage: Eukaryota; Metazoa; Arthropoda; Insecta; Blattodea; Kalotermitidae
Exons: 4
Source: RefSeq, a predicted model, not a curated record